Molecule: long non-coding RNA, 698 nt
Organism: Mustela putorius furo (domestic ferret)
Lineage: Eukaryota; Metazoa; Chordata; Mammalia; Carnivora; Mustelidae
Source: Ensembl
AUGAGUUCAUUUUCUCUCCACCAUAACUCUCUGAAUUUGGUGCUUUCCUAUUCCCAUUUUACAGAUAAAGGAAUGGAGGCAAAGUUCACAGAAAAGUUAAGGUCGCAUAGGUAGUAAGAAGUAGAGCUGGAUUCCGAACUCCGACCCAGAGCUCUUGUUCUUCACAACAAAGAUACACUAUCUCUCAGCCAUAAAUGUCCCACUGGCAAUCGGAAAUACCAGACACAGCUAAGAGGUUUGAUCACCCAGCAAAUGUGGCAGUUCCCUAAAUAGAGGUGACAGAUGGAAAGCCCGAGGAGCAUGGAAGGAGUAGAGAGCUGGAGCACCAAGAAACACUGGCCGACUUAACUAACCCAAGAGGGCCUUAUCUUGGUCUGACAGUCUGAUUGCACUCUCUGCCUUCAAGACCUGGCUCAACUCCUUUGAGAAGUCUUCCAAGAUUGCAACAACCCCUCUCCAGGAGAGUUCCUUUCCUCCUUGGAGUUCCCACCACCCUUCUUGCACACCAAGGACAUGUUUGUCACUUUGCAUUGUUAACAUCUGUUCACAUGUCCUGCCUCUGGACACCAAGCUUCUCCAUGGAGAGGACUAUCUGUCACACAUGUGCAUACGCAACUCUGUUCUCAGUGCUGGACAAGAACCCAGGAGUUGUGGUUGAAUAAAUGAAUACAUGAUUCAAUAAUUGGGUCAGAAUUUCU